CCCAAAUGAUAAGUCAAAGCCGCGGCUCAUAAAAAUAAAUCGAAAAGUCAAAAAUAUAAAUCGAAAGGAAACGGAAGUAAGCAACUUAAUACAGAGGAAGUCAGGAAACGGAAGUUAACCAAGAAGCCAGCGAAUGGAUUCUUUGUUUUAAAGGGGGGUGAACACGCGCUGAGAUAUUUACGUAUGUCGAUAUUAAAAAGUUAAAGAUUUCGAAACUGACGAAUUAUUUCUCUCUUUAUAAACAUUGCUGACCUCGUCUUUUACAGUAACAAUUACAUUAUUAUAUUAUAUUAUGAUUCAACCGAAUAUCUUGCUCGCCGUCUGGAUGUUUACGAGAUAAAUAUUCUUGUACUAAUCUAUAGCCUGAUGAUCCUGGGUGAUACUUGUGAGAUACCACGAACAAGUAGAUCAAGAUCAUUGUCCCUUAUCGUAGAAUGUGAUUGAGUGAUUCCCUGUUCGUAUAUAGCGGAGACAAAGUAAAAUUAACGUCGACGUCGUCGUAUUGCACUCUCAGAUACUCAAAAUUUCAUGUAAUUUCUGCUCAGGAAAGUCCAACUUGGAGAAUUAAAGUUUAGAUGGCCUGUUGUCAGACGUCCAGUCUUUGUCUUCCCACACCAAAAUUCGCAUCUUUCGCAUGUUUCUCUUUGACGACGAACAAUCACUUGAAGGGUGCGCAUAUCUGACAAAAGUUGUUGCUCUAGAGAAUUUUAAGCAUUGAGAAAAAUAUUCGGUUGAAUCAUAGCGAAUGUUAUUGUUAAAAGACGAGCUUAGCAAUGUUUGUGGUUAACUUCCGUUUCCUGACUUCCUCUGUAUUAAGUUGCUUACUUCCGUUUCCUUUCGAUUUAUAUUUUUGACUUUUCGAUUUAUUUUUAUGAGCCGCGGCUUUGACUUAUCAUUUGGGAGUUUCGUAUUAUAAAUAAAAGUUUGGACUUGCGUUUAAUUUUCAUGUAUAUCCUUAGAGGUUUGAAAUGUAUUUUGCAGUUUUGAAGUAUAUGCUUUAAACUUUCGUUUUAUUUUUUUGAGUUUGAAC
Non-coding RNA from Paramuricea clavata, 1030 nucleotides. NCBI's taxonomy places the organism in Eukaryota, Metazoa, Cnidaria, Anthozoa, Malacalcyonacea, Plexauridae. The record is from the annotation of a GenBank genome assembly.